Molecule: ribosomal RNA, 1362 nt
Filed under: uncultured spirochete
Lineage: Bacteria; Pseudomonadati; Spirochaetota; Spirochaetia; Spirochaetales
Description: bacterial SSU rRNA
Rfam family: Bacterial small subunit ribosomal RNA
Source: RNAcentral
AGAACGAACGCUGGCGGCGCGUCUUAAGCAUGCAAGUCGAGCGGCAAGGCCCUUCGGGGCCCCAGAGCGGCGGACGGGUGAGUAACGCGUGGACAACCUGCCCUUCGGUGGGGGAUAGCCUGCGGAAACGCAGGGUAAUACCGCAUGAGACGCAACGGGCGGAGGCCGGUUGCGGGAAAGGCCCCGAGGGGCCGCCGGGGGAUGGGUCCGCGUCCCAUUAGCUAGACGGCGGGGUGAAGGCCCACCGUGGCGACGAUGGGUAGCCGGCCUGAGAGGGUGGACGGCCACAUUGGAACUGAGACACGGUCCAGACUCCUACGGGAGGCAGCAGCUAAGAAUCUUCCGCAAUGGGCGAAAGCCUGACGGAGCGACGCCGCGUGGACGAUGAAGGCCGUGAGGUUGUAAAGUCCUUUUCGGGGGGGGGAAUGAGGUCCGCAGGGAAUGGCGGGCCGAUGACGUGAACCCCGGAAUAAGCCCCGGCUAAYUACGUGCCAGCAGCCGCGGUAACACGUAGGGGGCGAGCGUUGUUCGGAAUCAUUGGGCGUAAAGGGCGCGCAGGCGGCGAGGCAAGUCCGGUGUGAAAGUGCUCGGCUCAACCGAGUGAUGCGCUGGAAACUGCCCUGCUUGAGUACAGGAGGGGACGUCGGAAUUCCAGGUGUAGGGGUGAAAUCUGUAGAUAUCUGGAAGAACACCSGUGGCGAAGGCGGACGUCUGGCCAUGUACUGACSCUGAGGCGCGAAGGUGCGGGGAGCSAACAGGUUUAGAUACCCUGGUARUCCGCACAGUAAACGAUGUGCACCAGGUGGCGGGGGGUAACCCUCGGUACCGAAGCCAACGCAUUAAGUGCACCGCCUGGGGAGUAUGCUCGCAAGGGURAAACYCAAAGGAAUUGACGGGGGCCCGCACAAGCGGKGGAGCAUGUGGUUUAAUUCGAUGAUACGCGAGGAACCUUACCAGGGCUUGACAUGGGCCGGGAGGCGGGUGAAAGYCCCGCCGCCCUUCGGGGCCGGUCCACAGGUGCUGCAUGGCUGUCGUCAGCUCGUGCUGUGAAGUGUUGGGUUAAGUCCCGCAACGAGCGCAACCCCCGCCGCCCGUUACCAUCGAGUAACGUCGGGGACUCAGGCGGAACUGCCGGUGACAAACCGGAGGAAGGUGGGGACGACGUCAAGUCAUCAUGGCCCUUAUGUCCUGGGCUACACACGUGCUACAAUGGCAGGUACAGAGCGCAGCGAGGCCGCGAGGCGGAGCGAACCGCGAAAAGCCUGUCCCAGUACGGAUUGGGGUCUGCAACCCGACCCCAUGAAGUUGGAAUCGCUAGUAAUCGCGCAUCAGCAUGGCGCGGUGAAUACGUUCCCGGGCCUU